AAGGGGAGAGUCUUUUCUGCUGCAGCUCAGGGGGCGUGUCCCUCUCUCCCUAUCACAGCUCAGGAGGCAGUUGAAGGAUUAAAAACUGGGCAUGUGCGGCCGUCUCAGUGAUCAGGUCAAAUAAAUCAGAAAAAGA
Long non-coding RNA from Bufo bufo (common toad), 136 nucleotides. RefSeq lists it as uncharacterized. The transcript has 2 exons. Lineage: Eukaryota; Metazoa; Chordata; Amphibia; Anura; Bufonidae. The record is from RefSeq and is a predicted model, not a curated record.